RNAcentral lists this long non-coding RNA (7806 nucleotides) under Monomorium pharaonis (pharaoh ant). RNAcentral's name for it is "uncharacterized LOC114255164". Lineage: Eukaryota; Metazoa; Arthropoda; Insecta; Hymenoptera; Formicidae. The record is from RNAcentral.
GUCAUUCGAUAAUGUUCCCUUUGCAUCGGUGACCGAUGCAAGCACGGCGAUGAACAUCGGCAAGGUGCAACGGUGGUAACUCCUGCCGGGUGAGCGGCGCCCUUAUAGCGUCGCUCGCUCUGCGCGUUUCACACGCGUGAAGGAGCGAAAAAAAGGGGCCGGUCGGCCGGACGGACGGACGGAUGGAUGGAUGAACGGGCGGACGGACGGACGGACGGACGGACAAACGGACGGAUGAUGGAUAGAUGGACGGAUGGACGAACGAACGGACGGUCCAACGGACGAACGGAGAAACGAACGAACGGACGGACGGACGGACAAACGAACGAAUGAACGAACAAAAUAACAAACGCAAGAGCGAAAGAACGUACGGGCGUCUUGCCCGCAAUUGCGCACGAGAACCGAUGGACUUGCGUCAUUUGACGCUCUAUCUCGCUCUCUGCCUCCCUCUCUCUCUCUCUCUCUCUCUCUCUCUCUCUCUCUCUCUGUCUCUCUUCCCUUCGUAACGAACGAUACGCGCGGACAUCGCAAUUUACUCCUCUUGCGACGCGAUGACACGUGCACACCGUUCACGGGGGUGGGCGGAAGAAUGCACCCGGGGGUUUGCGCCAGCACACGCCGAAGAUUUACGUCAGUCCUGACCCGACGCGCGCCCUCAAGGUCACCAAAGGCGCGCGCGGCGAUCAACGCCGAAGGGCGCCCGCCGAAAGAGAGUAUAAGUAUAAUAGAAAUAGUAACGAGCAUGGUUAAUCGCGUCAGACUGCUGCUAUCAAGAGCUCCUUCGGCGACCCUUAGCGACAUGGGACGGUGAAAGCGUAUUUUUGAAAUUCGAGCAAAGUUCAGCCCCGCAGAAACGUUAGCUCGCUCGUUGCUGCUGCUGCUGCUGCUGCUGCUGCUACCUAUACUGCUCGGAUCUCGCCGCGGAAGAUUUUGCGCCAAUCAAAGUAACCAAAGCAACGCCGCGAGUCUCGUACACAAAUCGACGGCUUAUUUGAUGCGCGAUAAGAAUUAUUUCCCUUCAGAUCCAAUCAUUUGUAACACAUGACACACGCACGCGGCAUACUCACGUAAUAACGCUCUUAAAACACCCGACGUAAACAAAAUUGGGUCCGAUACCCGCGGGAAAAUGAACGGUGGAACCACUCUUCGUUGUCACCGUCGCCAUCACCAUCGACAUCGUCGUCGUCGUCGUCGUCGUUGUCGUCGAUGGCGGCGCAGAUCGAUCAGCGACCGCGCGACGUGCACACAGCAGAGUUUCUUCCUUCGUGAAAUUUUUAUGAACCCGCGAGCUUUUUCGGGCGCGGCGAGAAAGAUAUCCGCGCGUCUAGAAAUCAGGUCCCCGUGAAAUAUACAUACGUGCGGUGCGAUUUCCCAAAAUGUCCGCGGAUAAUUCCGUCGUGAAUUUUGCCGCGCGCGCCGCCGUCUAACCGCACCGCUUUAUAGCGCGGCCGCGCUAAAGAAUUAAAGCAUAAAUGAUACAGACGCUAAACGGGGUCGUUUUAAUAUAGCGUACGCGCAAGGCGAAUAUUAGCGGGCGGGUUUUCGAUCGCCGUUCGAUAUGAAUAGGCGCCCGAAUGCGAUUAAGUGCGACUUUUAAGUGCGCCUCCCGACAAUCGUCCCGAGCCAGUCGGGAAAGAAUUAUGAAGGGCAAUUCCCCCCCCGCGAUUCGCAACACGAAUCCGAUCCUUUGUAAUUCGAUUAGACUAACUUGUCUCGAGACAAACACGCUAACGAAAGUAACCACCGUUGCCGUUACUUUUUUAUAAUAACGAUUUAGUCAUGACGUUUACAAUUUGUCAUAACGAUCGAUGGUAAGGCCACGGUUGAGAUAGUCACUUUCAACAAGUAACACUCGUUAUCCAUUAGGCGUUAUUCAUUAAGAAAAGGUAACUUGUUACUUUACUCGUUGCGUAACGACUUAAUUUAUUAUAAGUCAUUGCUUUGACUCGUUAUGUAACGAGUUAAGUAACUUUUUCUCAAUGAAUAACGCGUAACGAUAACGAGUUACUUGUCAAAAGUAAAUAUAUGUCCCGACUCUCAUCCUGCGAAAGAUUUUGUAACGAAUAUUUUAUCAAAAAGAUAAAUAAAUAAGAGUAAAAAAAAAACAAUCUCGUUGCUUUUAACGCGUUUCCCGAAAUCCAUUUGCAAAGCUUUAGCCGAUCGAUCGGGAUGCCGUGCUUUUCUUAAACCUUUAAAACUUUUUUUGCAUCUCCACGUAGACGCGUUUAACGCAAAGUCGAGUGUAAAAAGAAUGAUGCAUCACCGGACACGUCCGCGAAGUUGUGUCUUCCGUGUUAUAAUCCGUUGCGGCACGUCGUAUCCGUUUUGCGGGUAAUAGUCAUCCGACUAUAAUCUCGUCGUGUACCUUGCGUAACGCGCCGCUGUGAAGCAGUCGACGUGUAUAUGAGAGACAUUUAUGUCCCGGGUAGAGGUAAGUUCCCGGCGGUAUCUUCUGUGUAUACUAAUUGAUAUUGUAUUUUGCGUGUUACUCGGUAAACAGGUAAACAGCGUGCGUCAGCUGAUCGAUAUCUCGCGCCGUUGACAAAGUACGCGACUCGAUUUCUCCCCUGCUCCUCCAUUUGUAAUCCCGCCGAACCGGGAAUCGGAGCAGAAAAAAAAAAGGAAUAAACAUAUUUUUCUCUUUAGACAUACCGCAUUAUUUCACGAACACAUUUACAAUUAUGCAUGUAUAUGUUGUAUUAUGAAUUGUAUACGUGUAUCUUUACAAUUAUAUAUAAAACGAAUUUCACACAUGACGUGUGGGUGUAACUUUAAAAAUAGAGUCGGGAUAUAAAAAUAACACAAAGAAUUUAUACACUUACAAUAUUCGGUCUAUUACAAUAUUUUAAUAAAAUUAUCUAUAUUUCAGUUAAUAAGACUCAGAUUUUAGUAAUAUUGUAACAAAUAAACAAUACUAGAUAUUCAAUUUUUCUAUUAGUGAGUUUAAUAUUUUAUAAUUUGUUAGGCACGUUUUAUUUUUCCAAUUAUAUUACUUAUUAAAAAUUUUAUUGUAAAACUUAUAAAUAUCCCGGAUUUUUUGCUCAUUAUAAUAUUAACAAAAUUAUGUGUCGAUAACUGAAGCAUUAAACUACAGUUGUAAUUAACUGUUUGAAUUAUUUUAUGUCCUCAAUUCACUUUUGAAUUUAUGCCAUACACUAUAAAACAUCCUGUAUAUAAAAACUAUAAUGCAUAUUUUAUUUUUAUAUAUUAUAUUGUAUGUAUAUACUAUCAAGUAUAGCAUGUGCGUUAGCACAAACUUUGUGUAUGUAAUACGUAAUGUAUGCGAAAAUCAGGUUCGAUACUGAAUUCGUUAGUCACGUCGCUGAUGUCAUACUGUGUAAUAUCGAGAAUCUACGACAAAAAGCUGUUAGAAUAACGUAAUACUUCUUGGGAUAAUGUAGAUAUUUCUUAUCGCGCGCUCCUUGCUUAUUAGAAUGAGAAAAGAACUCUGGUUUUUCUCUGACUACGCGAGGGCGUACAUUAACGCCGUUGAUAUAGAUAUGUACAAAUUUGUGCACAAGUCUAGAACACGUUGAUAAGAUCAUACGGCGCGAUAGAGGAAGCCGUUUUCUUACGUAAUUGAAAAUUAGAUGCGGGCUCUUCAAAUAUUGUUUAUUGAUAGCGGGAUUACCAAAGCCAGAUAAAAUAUCAGAAACCAACAGAGAAUUUACAAACCUGUAAUUUCUAAUCUCGCGCGAUUGAUCCGAUAGAUAUUUUUCUAACGCGAUUGUAAAUCGUGCUCUGGCCUUUGAUAGAUCGAUGCCGUAAUAAAAAUUACCACGAUACGAAGCGCGAUCAAAAGCAAGAAUAUAAAUAUAUUAAGCAAUAAUAAUAAAAUUAAAUGUCCUCAUCGAAAAAGUAACAUGACAUUUUUCAUCCUUAUCAAGUAUUUAUAUUGUCAUAUUUUUCAACUUGGGUCAUAAUUUAUACACUUUCUAAAAAUGUGUAAUAUUUCAUGUAAAAAAAAUGCUUUCACAUCUACUGAAAUAUUUUUACAUUUUUUCAUAAAAUAUUUAUGUAUUCGCACAUUUUUCACAAUUUGCGUUGCUAAUAAUCGAAUGACCCUCAAAAGUCAUUAUGUCAUUACAUUUUUUAAUUGCGUUACAUUUAUGCAAAACCGCGCGGUAUAUUCACGUACGACGAAUUCAGCGGGCGACAAUCAAUCAAUGGCAUACGAAAACGAAGGUAAUGUAAUUGAAUAUUAAACGCGAUACUUAUACGACGACUUUACUAUAUGCGUACGUAAACAUAUCAUUUCAUAAAUAUCAUCGAUUAACUCUUCGCUCUCGUCGUCUCUACUUAUAUCGCCAAAUCGCUUAAGAGCCAUGUAAUCAAACAUGGACUUUGCGUUUUAGCUGUCGCAUGCUUUUAUCGCCGAAUACUUACAAGUGCUAAGUACUUCAGUGGAUGGUAAUACUACGAUUACUCUCUAAAGUACUAAGUCUCCUUAAGUGACAUUUCUCUCAGGAAUUUGAUACAUUACGAUGUAUCCUUACGAUUAUACGUAACGAUUAUAUUGUUCAGUUUCGACUUUCCGCAAUCGCAGAUUAUAGAACCUUAUUAAAGUGAAAAUUAAUCUUAGAAAAAAUAAUUUCGUCCAACUUUUCAAUCAAUCGAAAACCUUUUUUGCCUUUCGAUUUUACAUUUAAUCCGACUUGAAUCAGGAUAAAGUUAGCGUUUUUCGCCGCUAAUAAAUGGAAUUACAAUCGAUCUUCUCUUACACAUUUUUUUGCAAGUAAAUAGCCAAAAUAAAGUUAUAAUUCAAUUAUCGAUUAUUGAUUCUUCGAUUAAACUCGAGAUUUUACCUAAAAAUCUAAAAAUCUGUCAUAUAAAUGCGCAAGUAAAAUGCAAAUCAUCGACAGGUAAAUUACAUUGACGGAAUGGAGCAAGUAUUUUUUCUCUCGAGCGGCAUAUAUAAAAAACAAUUGUUGCUCUAUUUCUUUCAUUCUCUUUUUAUUAUGUAAAAUAUUUGCUAAGACUUGAAAUCGGAGCAUUUGCCUUUACGAGUAACAACCAGAAAAUUCAAUUCAAAUAAGUGUGUGAUAAAAAAUAUAACAAUUAAUAUAUCAUAAUGUUACAUCCUUAAGACCGAGUUAUUGCCACCAUUCCUCAUUGGCUCCGAGAGAAAUAUUCCAUGAUUUCACAAAGCGCAGCCAGAGUGCGAGAUCAUUCUUGCAACAACUCCCAUAGACAUUUCGUGUCGAUUUGUACGGCAACUAUACAGCACGAGAGAGAGAAUGCUAUCGCUUGCUUGGAGCCUGCAGCUCCAUGUAAACAGAACGUUCCACCCAUCGACCCAGGAGUAGAUCUUGAACUCCCCGUUACAAUCAGUAUUUCAGCACGUGCGCGCACCUUAAAGAGACGGCAGGCCGCCGAAUAAUAUUCGCAGGCGAGUUUGUCCACCCAAGAGUAGAAUGGCGCGAGUCAACGUUUAGGUCAUCACAUGUUCCGCGGAUUUGCAUAACCUCGGGGACGCACAUUAUGACGCGCUUUGUGCCGCGUGAGGUCAUACCCGAGGGGCCACCACGUCUUAUUGUCGCGUGGCACGUAUUAUUAUACACGUUGUGUAGGUCUAGGUUUACUCUCUUCCCUCCCUCCGCCGCCCCUCACGCUUGACCGAGAUAUACCGGCCGAUAAACCGGCAUAUCCGAUAACGUUACCGAAACACGCGUAAAAGAUCGAACGCGUGCCUUGCCUUUUCCGCGCCUUCCGGCGAAAAAAAAAAAAGAGACGGAGGCGACGGAGAAGAAACAUGCGAGCGCGCGUGAAAAGCGCUCGCUCUUUCUCCCUCUCUCAUUCUCUCUACUGAAAACUCUUUGCGAUAAUGCUAAACACUAAACGGUAUGCAAACGAAAUAAUAAUGCAAAGUCCGCCUUAAACGUGCUACUCCACAAUUUCGCGACGAAAUCAGAGACGAAACUCCGCGCGUAUAAUUUAAUAAGACACGACUAUCGCACGAGGUGUCCUAAUAAUAAUAAAUCACGACGGUGAAACUGAGGUAAGGAGGAUAAAUGGAAAAAUUGAAUUUCACCUAUGUAUAUUCGUCCGUCGACCGAUUACGCAAACCCGAAGAUUUCGAAAAGAUUAGAGGUCUGUCCGUGUAAUUAUGCGAGAAACGCGGUUCUGAGAUUUAAAAAAAAAAAAAGGAAAGAAAAGACUUUUGCAUCUCUUUAAUAUUACACCUUUGGCACCUGACUAUCGGUAGUUACUCACGUUAUCAUUUCUCGACCGCGAUUUCCCUCGCGUUACCGAAAGAAAUAACAUGUGCUUCCACAACAUUUGAUGCUAAGUAAGAUCUGUAUAUCUAGGGCAAUGUCUUUGUAUAGAUAAUAAUUAAAUAAACAAAAUGUCAUAAAAUUGAUAAUUAACUCUACCAUCGGAAAAUUAUAUUGCCCCGUUUUACUCAACGAAUUCGAUCACUGCCUAACCUCUUUCUAAAUUGCCUCAUAUAAUAUUAAAUGGUAGAAGAGCAAAUAAUAAUUAUAUAUAAGCAAUCAAUUUUUAAGGCUAAGUCUUUUCAACCCAGUUCCAUAUUCUUUUAAUUAAUCCGAGAGAAACGUGAUUAAAAGAUUAAGAUUUCAAAACGUGAAUCUGAUUAUAUAUAUAUAUCUGAUUAUAAAUGUUUCAUUGUGACCCGUUUCUCUUGUUUUUUCUGAUAAAACGGCAUACACUCACACAACAACACACAUGUACAUGCAAAACAAUCUAGCGAUGAUAGACUAAUAAAAAAUGCUAUUCUUUUUCUAGCAUAAACGUACUUCGUUUAUUUUGUAACGUAUUUAUGAUUUUUGUAUACUACACAAUAAUUGUAAUAAUAAUUUUAAGUUGUAAGCAUAUAUACAUAUGGAGGAUGGACAAAAAAAUGUAAACACCCAGGAAAUGUACUAAUCUUCUUAUUAAUAAAAGAUUGAUCCAUUAUUUUUAUCUUUAAUACAGAUUAUAUCUGUUUGGAAUAAGAUCACACACAAUAACAAUCACUAACAAUGGAAUGUUUUAUUAUUCUUUUAGAGGAAAACACCUUUCAAUUAUAUAAGUAAUAUUAGAGAAACGACUUUGCUUCGAAAUCCGACCAUUAUUUUUCAAGAUUGUCCUUUGUUCCUCAAAACAAACCAAAUACUGCCUAACUUAAAUAUCAUCAAAUUAUUGUAAACAGUUUUGACGAGCAAAGUGAAAAACAGACAUUUUCUCCUCCAACAUCCGUUAAGCAUCUUUCAACAAAUCUCUUAAGAAAUCUUUUGUUAGAAGAGUAGUAUAACAUUGCAUUAGCAACUAUUCAGGUAUUGUAUGAUUUUAUCCCAAAUAAAAAUAUAAUCUGUAUAAAUAAAAAACCAAUCUCUCAUUAAUAAAAUAAUUAGUGUUUCCAGAUGUUUAUACAUUAUUUUGCUUAUCUCCUCGGCAUAUUUGCCUUUCACUUCAAAAUAUAUUUAACAUCUCUGAAGUUAACACACGUACUAGAGUUUCGUGAUGCUAAUAAUUUCCAUAAGAAAUAUAUCUCAUCUAAUCACGCGCUCUACACGAGUAUCAAAAGAGCACGUUGCAACGAGGUCGACGAUGGGCAUCGAGAAUAAUAUUGCGGCUGCAUUCGCGCACAGAUUUCUGCAUUAUCGGUCGUGAUUUUGCGAGGGCGGGCUACAGAUGGCGGUACGAAACGGAGCGGUUGCAAGGCAACACACGUUGUGUUUUAUAAUAUUUAAUAACAACCACAUGAUACUAUGAUAGAGGUUCGAUAUCACAACGUUGCUGCGGCUUUAUCACCUUAAAACACCAGCGAAUUUACGAUAUAAUUAAAUUGUCGAAAAAAAAAAA